This 949-nucleotide ribosomal RNA is filed under the name Microbacterium sp. RNAcentral's name for it is "bacterial SSU rRNA". It matches the Rfam family "Bacterial small subunit ribosomal RNA", at positions 495 to 1441 of the family's 1533-position model. Lineage: Bacteria; Bacillati; Actinomycetota; Actinomycetes; Micrococcales; Microbacteriaceae. The record is from RNAcentral.
GGCUAACUACGUGCCAGCAGCCGCGGUAAUACGUAGGGCGCAAGCGUUAUCCGGAAUUAUUGGGCGUAAAGAGCUCGUAGGCGGUUUGUCGCGUCUGCUGUGAAAUCCCGAGGCUCAACCUCGGGCCUGCAGUGGGUACGGGCAGACUAGAGUGCGGUAGGGGAGAUUGGAAUUCCUGGUGUAGCGGUGGAAUGCGCAGAUAUCAGGAGGAACACCGAUGGCGAAGGCAGAUCUCUGGGCCGUAACUGACGCUGAGGAGCGAAAGGGUGGGGAGCAAACAGGCUUAGAUACCCUGGUAGUCCACCCCGUAAACGUUGGGAACUAGUUGUGGGGUCCAUUCCACGGAUUCCGUGACGCAGCUAACGCAUUAAGUUCCCCGCCUGGGGAGUACGGCCGCAAGGCUAAAACUCAAAGGAAUUGACGGGGACCCGCACAAGCGGCGGAGCAUGCGGAUUAAUUCGAUGCAACGCGAAGAACCUUACCAAGGCUUGACAUAUACGAGAACGGGCCAGAAAUGGUCAACUCUUUGGACACUCGUAAACAGGUGGUGCAUGGUUGUCGUCAGCUCGUGUCGUGAGAUGUUGGGUUAAGUCCCGCAACGAGCGCAACCCUCGUUCUAUGUUGCCAGCACGUAAUGGUGGGAACUCAUGGGAUACUGCCGGGGUCAACUCGGAGGAAGGUGGGGAUGACGUCAAAUCAUCAUGCCCCUUAUGUCUUGGGCUUCACGCAUGCUACAAUGGCCGGUACAAAGGGCUGCAAUACCGUGAGGUGGAGCGAAUCCCAAAAAGCCGGUCCCAGUUCGGAUUGAGGUCUGCAACUCGACCUCAUGAAGUCGGAGUCGCUAGUAAUCGCAGAUCAGCAACGCUGCGGUGAAUACGUUCCCGGGUCUUGUACACACCGCCCGUCAAGUCAUGAAAGUCGGUAACACCUGAAGCCGGUGGCCUAACCC